RNAcentral lists this ribosomal RNA (3010 nucleotides) under Salmonella enterica subsp. enterica serovar Typhimurium. RNAcentral describes it as "23S ribosomal RNA". It matches the Rfam family "Bacterial large subunit ribosomal RNA". Lineage: Bacteria; Pseudomonadati; Pseudomonadota; Gammaproteobacteria; Enterobacterales; Enterobacteriaceae. The record is from RNAcentral.
GGGUUGUGAGGUUAAGCGACUAAGCGUACACGGUGGAUGCCCUGGCAGUCAGAGGCGAUGAAGGGCGUGCUAAUCUGCGAUAAGCGCCGGUAAGGUGAUAUGAACCGUUAUAACCGGCGAUACCCGAAUGGGGAAACCCAGUGUGACUCGUCACACUAUCAUUAACUGAAUCCAUAGGUUAAUGAGGCGAACCGGGGGAACUGAAACAUCUAAGUACCCCGAGGAAAAGAAAUCAACCGAGAUUCCCCCAGUAGCGGCGAGCGAACGGGGAGGAGCCCAGAGCCUGAAUCAGCAUGUGUGUUAGUGGAAGCGUCUGGAAAGGCGCGCGAUACAGGGUGACAGCCCCGUACACAAAAGCGCAUGUGCUGUGAGCUCGAUGAGUAGGGCGGGACACGUGGUAUCCUGUCUGAAUAUGGGGGGACCAUCCUCCAAGGCUAAAUACUCCUGACUGACCGAUAGUGAACCAGUACCGUGAGGGAAAGGCGAAAAGAACCCCGGCGAGGGGAGUGAAAAAGAACCUGAAACCGUGUACGUACAAGCAGUGGGAGCACCCUUCGGGGUGUGACUGCGUACCUUUUGUAUAAUGGGUCAGCGACUUAUAUUCUGUAGCAAGGUUAACCGUAUAGGGGAGCCGGAGGGAAACCGAGUCUUAAUUGGGCGUUAAGUUGCAGGGUAUAGACCCGAAACCCGGUGAUCUAGCCAUGGGCAGGUUGAAGGUUGGGUAACACUAACUGGAGGACCGAACCGACUAAUGUUGAAAAAUUAGCGGAUGACCUGUGGCUGGGGGUGAAAGGCCAAUCAAACCGGGAGAUAGCUGGUUCUCCCCGAAAGCUAUUUAGGUAGCGCCUCGUGAAUUCAUCUCCGGGGGUAGAGCACUGUUUCGGCUAGGGGGCCAUCCCGGCUUACCAACCCGAUGCAAACUGCGAAUACCGGAGAAUGUUAUCACGGGAGACACACGGCGGGUGCUAACGUCCGUCGUGAAGAGGGAAACAACCCAGACCGCCAGCUAAGGUCCCAAAGUCAUGGUUAAGUGGGAAACGAUGUGGGAAGGCCCAGACAGCCGGGAUGUUGGCUUAGAAGCAGCCAUCAUUUAAAGAAAGCGUAAUAGCUCACUGGUCGAGUCGGCCUGCGCGGAAGAUGUAACGGGGCUAAACCAUGCACCGAAGCUGCGGCAGCGAACGUAUCACCCAAGACAACUUUACGGAGUUGACGAUUGACGGAGCGAAGCGACGUCAAAGCGUUCAUUAAAGUCGAGUUGGCUUAGGGAUACGUUCGUUGGGUAGGGGAGCGUUCUGUAAGCCUGUGAAGGUGUGUCGUGAGGCAUGCUGGAGGUAUCAGAAGUGCGAAUGCUGACAUAAGUAACGAUAAAGCGGGUGAAAAGCCCGCUCGCCGGAAGACCAAGGGUUCCUGUCCAACGUUAAUCGGGGCAGGGUGAGUCGACCCCUAAGGCGAGGCCGAAAGGCGUAGUCGAUGGGAAACGGGUUAAUAUUCCCGUACUUGGUGUUACUGCGAAGGGGGGACGGAGAAGGCUAUGUUGGCCGGGCGACGGUUGUCCCGGUUUAAGCGUGUAGGUGUGUGUUCCGGUAAAUCCGGUUCACUUUAACACUGAGGCGUGAUGACGAGGCACUACGGUGCUGAAGCAACAAAUGCCCUGCUUCCAGGAAAAGCCUCUAAGCAUCAGGUAACAUCAAAUCGUACCCCAAACCGACACAGGUGGUCAGGUAGAGAAUACCAAGGCGCUUGAGAGAACUCGGGUGAAGGAACUAGGCAAAAUGGUGCCGUAACUUCGGGAGAAGGCACGCUGACACGUAGGUGAAGUGAUUUACUCAUGGAGCUGAAGUCAGUCGAAGAUACCAGCUGGCUGCAACUGUUUAUUAAAAACACAGCACUGUGCAAACACGAAAGUGGACGUAUACGGUGUGACGCCUGCCCGGUGCCGGAAGGUUAAUUGAUGGGGUCAGCGCAAGCGAAGCUCCUGAUCGAAGCCCCGGUAAACGGCGGCCGUAACUAUAACGGUCCUAAGGUAGCGAAAUUCCUUGUCGGGUAAGUUCCGACCUGCACGAAUGGCGUAAUGAUGGCCGGGCUGUCUCCACCCGAGACUCAGUGAAAUUGAACUCGCUGUGAAGAUGCAGUGUACCCGCGGCAAGACGGAAAGACCCCGUGAACCUUUACUAUAGCUUGACACUGAACAUUGAGCCUUGAUGUGUAGGAUAGGUGGGAGGCUUUGAAGUGUGGACGCCAGUCUGCAUGGAGCCGACCUUGAAAUACCACCCUUUAAUGUUUGAUGUUCUAACGUGGACCCGUAAUCCGGGUUGCGGACAGUGUCUGGUGGGUAGUUUGACUGGGGCGGUCUCCUCCUAAAGAGUAACGGAGGAGCACGAAGGUUGGCUAAUCCUGGUCGGACAUCAGGAGGUUAGUGCAAUGGCAUAAGCCAGCUUGACUGCGAGCGUGACGGCGCGAGCAGGUGCGAAAGCAGGUCAUAGUGAUCCGGUGGUUCUGAAUGGAAGGGCCAUCGCUCAACGGAUAAAAGGUACUCCGGGGAUAACAGGCUGAUACCGCCCAAGAGUUCAUAUCGACGGCGGUGUUUGGCACCUCGAUGUCGGCUCAUCACAUCCUGGGGCUGAAGUAGGUCCCAAGGGUAUGGCUGUUCGCCAUUUAAAGUGGUACGCGAGCUGGGUUUAGAACGUCGUGAGACAGUUCGGUCCCUAUCUGCCGUGGGCGCUGGAGAACUGAGGGGGGCUGCUCCUAGUACGAGAGGACCGGAGUGGACGCAUCACUGGUGUUCGGGUUGUCAUGCCAAUGGCACUGCCCGGUAGCUAAAUGCGGAAGAGAUAAGUGCUGAAAGCAUCUAAGCACGAAACUUGCCCCGAGAUGAGUUCUCCCUGAGACUUAGAGUCUCCUGAAGGAACGUUGAAGACGACGACGUUGAUAGGCCGGGUGUGUAAGCGCAGCGAUGCGUUGAGCUAACCGGUACUAAUGAACCGUGAGGCUUAACCUUACAACGCCGAAG